Ixodes scapularis (black-legged tick) is the source of this 359-nucleotide long non-coding RNA. RefSeq lists it as uncharacterized. The record is from RefSeq and is a predicted model, not a curated record. The transcript is spliced from 3 exons. Lineage: Eukaryota; Metazoa; Arthropoda; Arachnida; Ixodida; Ixodidae.
CAUCAUCUGGGCAAAGCCUGACCAGAGUGGACGGUGCCCUGGAGGCGCCUUCAGGUUCCAUUGAGGAACUCCCGGCAGGAGCUGGGAUGACGUUGGGGGCCUCAAAUUCAGCUGGAGGUGGCUACGUGGGUCAGGGCAACUGACACGGUUGCCGAGGCCUGCCGAAGCCUUCUGGAAAGGGCCCUCAAGAAGGAGGUCCAAAUAAAAUUUAGCCUCCUGGGCCGGAAAGGCAAGCUACCUUUCCGGGGGACCCUCCUCUGCCACAUUGUGACAGAGACCAUCAAGAGUGCGAAGGCUGCCAAUGUGCCAGAUGUCGAAAAGGCCAUUGGCAAGUACCUGGCCGGUGCUGUGGACCGGGA